Molecule: non-coding RNA, 30 nt
Filed under: Mus musculus (house mouse)
Lineage: Eukaryota; Metazoa; Chordata; Mammalia; Rodentia; Muridae
Source: RNAcentral
UUCAUAUUUUGAGGAUUAUAAUAUUAUAGU